Molecule: long non-coding RNA, 213 nt
Filed under: Lathyrus oleraceus (garden pea)
Lineage: Eukaryota; Viridiplantae; Streptophyta; Magnoliopsida; Fabales; Fabaceae
Description: Pisum sativum (pea) long non-coding RNA (PSAT_LNC041944)
Source: RNAcentral
UUGAAAUGGUGUUUGUCGUAUUUUUCACGGUCGGAAGAAAAUACAAUGGUUUUGGAGAGUAUGGGAGGUUGGAGCAGUGGCUUCUCGACGGUGUUGUGGUGUUUUUUUGGUGUGUUUCUUUGAGGGUGAAAACAAAACGGAUGGAGUAACGAUUGUUGUUGGAAGUGAUGUGGUGGUUUUCGGGAAUAGUAACUUGCGUUUUUGUGUUUACAG